UGGGGAAUAUUGCACAAUGGGCGCAAGCCUGAUGCAGCCAUGCCGCGUGUAUGAAGAAGGCCUUCGGGUUGUAAAGUACUUUCAGCGGGGAGGAAGGUGUUGAGGCUAAUAACCUCAGCAAUUGACGUUACCCGCAGAAGAAGCACCGGAUAACUCCGUGCCAGCAGCCGCGGUAAUACGGAGGGUGCAAGCGUUAAUCGGAAUUACUGGGCGUAAAGCGCACGCAGGCGGUCUGUCAAGUCGGAUGUGAAAUCCCCGGGCUCAACCUGGGAACUGCAUUCGAAACUGGCAGGCUAGAGUCUUGUAGAGGGGGGUAGAAUUCCAGGUGUAGCGGUGAAAUGCGUAGAGAUCUGGAGGAAUACCGGUGGCGAAGGCGGCCCCCUGGACAAAGACUGACGCUCAGGUGCGAAAGCGUGGGGAGCAAACA
This 427-nucleotide ribosomal RNA is filed under the name uncultured bacterium. RNAcentral's name for it is "partial 16S ribosomal RNA". It matches the Rfam family "Bacterial small subunit ribosomal RNA", at positions 355 to 774 of the family's 1533-position model. The record is from RNAcentral.